Molecule: small nucleolar RNA, 111 nt
Organism: Humulus lupulus (European hop)
Lineage: Eukaryota; Viridiplantae; Streptophyta; Magnoliopsida; Rosales; Cannabaceae
Source: RefSeq, a predicted model, not a curated record
AUACCAUGAUGCAGACACUUCCUUAACAACUCUUUGAAUCUCUCCCAUACAUCAUACAAUGAUUCCCUUUCUUUUUGGUAGAAAUUAUUAAUUUCAUCAACUUUGGAGCUU